Long non-coding RNA from Capra hircus (goat), 1148 nucleotides. RefSeq lists it as uncharacterized. Lineage: Eukaryota; Metazoa; Chordata; Mammalia; Artiodactyla; Bovidae. The transcript is spliced from 4 exons. The record is from RefSeq and is a predicted model, not a curated record.
CAGGGGCCUGGCAGGCUAUAGCCCAUGGGGUCCCGAAGAGGCGGACACAACUGAGUGACUUUCACUCACAACAGGGGGGAGCUAGCUGCACCCAGGGAAGGGCAGAGGAGGAGGUGUAGCCACGGCUGAGAGUGGGCCUGCCACUGUUCCGCAUUCCCUGGAUCCUCCUCCUGCCGGUCCUCACGCUUAUCCACACCGAGGAUGAGACCGGCUUCUACCUGCUCUGUCCCCAAUGCCACCACAGGCUCAGGCCCCGGCAUGGUCAGGAGUGGCGACCCCGAUUAGGUUACAAGGAACCAGGGGGCCUACUCCCGCGCAGAUGGAGCCACGCACGCAGUUGUUCCAAGAGCUCGGGGCGCGAGUCCUAGAGCCCUGCUGGCAGAAGCGGAGCACCAGAGAGCCUCCACCGCCCAGCCGCCCUCCCCCACUAUGAAAAUCCUGCCGAAACAGUGGCUAGAAGCACCGGACAGCUACAAAGACGUGCUCUGUUGACUCUUCUGGGCGUUAUCAGUGGUUGAAGAACUGGACUGCUUGGAAACACCUGAGCAAUUAUUUCCCCAUUAAGGUAACAGGUCACCCUCCAAGGGAUGCUCCACUCCUCCCGCUCCCUUACCUCCCACCUCCUCUCUCCUUCCCAUGAUGGAUUCUCACCUCUGGCUGCUUACGUUCAGGUAACGGGGCAGGGGGUGGGAUGGUGUUCCAGACUGGACCCUCAUGCCUUUGACCCCAUCUUAGACCCUAAACUCUCAGGUCUCUUGGUGGGGGCGGAUACCCUUUCAGCUGGGGUCCUGCCUUCUCUGCUUUCUUUCCUUCAUCCUGCCCCCUGCCGCCACAGCUGGUGAAAACAGCAGAGCUGCCCCCAGACAGGAGCUACAUGCCAGCGUCCCGCCCACAUGGGGUCAUGGAUGUUGGAAGCUUCUGUAACUCCUGGGCUGAGAGCACUGGCUCCUCCCAGCAGUUCCCAGCGUCUCGGUUCUCAGGUUCACGCUGAACGGCAUGUUCCACCACCCAGUCUGUGGAGACCAUGUUACGUCCUGCAGUGAGACCAGGGCGGAGUGACAGAAGGCAACCCCACCUCAAUCCGGAAAGAGUGGUCCCCGCUCACCACCCAGCGCAGGCACUUGGCUUGAACAUUGACCAGGCUCACC